Molecule: ribosomal RNA, 497 nt
Filed under: uncultured bacterium
Lineage: Bacteria
Description: partial 16S ribosomal RNA
Rfam family: Bacterial small subunit ribosomal RNA
Source: RNAcentral
GAUGAACGCUGGCGGCGUGCCUAAUACAUGCAAGUCGAGCGAACAGACGAGGAGCUUGCUCCCCUGACGUUAGCGGCGGACGGGUGAGUAACACGUGGAUAACCUACCUAUAAGACUGGGAUAACUUCGGGAAACCGGAGCUAAUACCGGAUAAUAUAUUGAACCGCAUGGUUCAAUAGUGAAAGACGGUUUUGCUGUCACUUAUAGAUGGAUCCGCGCCGCAUUAGCUAGUUGGUAAGGUAACGGCUUACCAAGGCAACGAUGCGUAGCCGACCUGAGAGGGUGAUCGGCCACACUGGAACUGAGACACGGUCCAGACUCCUACGGGAGGCAGCAGUAGGGAAUCUUCCGCAAUGGGCGAAAGCUUGACGGAGCAACGCCGCGUGAGUGAUGAAGGUCUUCGGAUCGUAAAACUCUGUUAUUAGGGAAGAACAAAUGUGUAAGUAACUAUGCACGUCCUGACGGUACCUAAUCAGAAAGCCACGGCUAACUACGUG